This 239-nucleotide long non-coding RNA is filed under the name Capsicum annuum. RNAcentral describes it as "long non-coding RNA (CANN_LNC018368)". The record is from RNAcentral. Lineage: Eukaryota; Viridiplantae; Streptophyta; Magnoliopsida; Solanales; Solanaceae.
UUCAAAUAUUUUUAUAGUGACAAUAUUUGUUUGAAUAUCUUUUGACUGUUGUAGUAAACCGUUAUUAUAGAGAACAUGACCAUUAUAGUAAAAUGCAGCAAUAGAAAAUGAUUAUCGAGAGAUCUAACUAUACAUUAACAACUAGACAAAUUAACUAAAAUUUCCUAUUUUCACUUCCACAUUUUCAUAUCUCAAGAGUUUAUCACUCAAAGUUAGAUUUGAUUUAUACUUCCACCCGG